CCUAUUGGCCUUACCACCCCUUAUGCACCUGAUCUAGUCUGAUCUCAGAAGCUAAGCAGGGUCGGGCCUGGUUAGAACUUGGGAGAUCACCUGGGACUAUCAAGUGCUGUACUC
This 114-nucleotide ribosomal RNA is filed under the name Bos mutus (wild yak). The record is from RNAcentral. Lineage: Eukaryota; Metazoa; Chordata; Mammalia; Artiodactyla; Bovidae.